AAGAUAAGGGAGAAUAUUAAGGAAAUUAAGAAGAUGUGUAAGAAUUAUAAAAAAAGGAAAGAACUGCAGCUGACGAUUAUUAGGGAUCAAACAUUACAGCAUGAAAAUCGGAACAAUACAGCUACUCUACAUGCGGAGGCGCUACGCAAUCAGAUCCUGACGCGGGAUAUUCUUAGAAUGCGCUCUCUAAAAUACACAUUCUAAAUGAUUGCAUCCUGUAUAAAGUUCAUGGAAGGCACACGUUUAAAUAACAAACCGAAGGACACGAAAUGCUCGAACAGAUGGUUAGAAAAAGUUGCUUCGGAAAAGAAGCACGUUGAUCUUUGGAAAUAUGGAAUGUAAUGUAUCGAAGGAAUGACGAAUCGUUAGAAAACACAACCCGAUCAUGAUCAAGCAAGUACAUUGAAUAGAGGUACAUAGUUGCGAAACCAAAUUUCGAGAUUAACAUAACGCUUUUAAAAUGAAGGAUGACGUGAUCUUGACCUGGUGCAGAAGAUCACGUGUCUUCGUCUGGCGUAACACAUUCUGCUUGCUUUGAUGGCGAACGCAUCUACGGCGCAUUGGCACCUUCGUGCGUGUUUAUCACGCCUUCUCUGUCCUUGCACUUGAUCUAAAAGGACUUUACGGGUAGCGUCAGUUCGUGCCAUACGUAUGUCAUAGAUAGCUCGUAGAAGCCAAUUGAGCAUUACAGAGAGAUCGCCAAACAAACCUUCUACUGAGCCGUAACUGAAGUGUCUUCUCAAUUGUCAUUCCACGAGUACAGUGGUGCAGAAUCAGCGGAGCAUCUGUCCUUCGAAUGUCGCUAAGAGUGCCCUGAACUACAAAAGCAAAAUCGUUCACAUGCAACAGUCACGACCGACGUUUGUGGUUCCAGUGUUAUACGUGAAACCUUAUGUUCAGGUGUAUCGAGACGGAUUAUCAACUGUUAUAUCUUCAGUCUCCAAACUUUAUUCAUUAUUGGGUUUAACAACUCAAUGCUGAUUGGUUCACUCAUAGACAUACGCUGUUAAGGAGGCGGGACCCGUGUUAGAUUUGAUUAAUUAGUACAAACUGAGUUAACGAGUUAUUGUACAUGUAUUGUUCAUGCAUUGUUUUGUAUAGAAGUUUAUCGAGUAUAGUGUGCCAGUUUUCGCAUACAAAAUAAUGUUUGCAGGAUAGUUAGUCCUACGCUACGUAUGGGGGCACGGUCUAUUCGGGGCUUGAACCCAUGACGGGCAUGUUGUUAAGUCGUACGAGUUGACGGCUGUACCAGCAGCCCGGUAAUGCUAGCUAGGGGAUGCUAGGGUAGUUUUACAAAAUUUAGGUAGGCAUUUUACUCGCAUGCGCUCUUGUGUACUUACAAAUUCAGGUAGGAAAUUAUUGCAGACAGCUGAAGAGCUGUGUCUAUCAACAACAACAAAAAAACAUACAAUUAAGUGUUUAGUGGGAUUGAAUAUAUUUGCUGAUCAAUUUUUAAUUUGAAAACGGGAAAAUAGGACGAAGAACAAUAUAUUGUAAUAUGAAAUAUUGUUUGAAUUAAACAU
Anopheles arabiensis is the source of this 1523-nucleotide long non-coding RNA. RefSeq lists it as uncharacterized. The record is from RefSeq and is a predicted model, not a curated record. The transcript is spliced from 3 exons. Lineage: Eukaryota; Metazoa; Arthropoda; Insecta; Diptera; Culicidae.